RNAcentral lists this ribosomal RNA (468 nucleotides) under uncultured bacterium. RNAcentral describes it as "partial 16S ribosomal RNA". It matches the Rfam family "Bacterial small subunit ribosomal RNA", at positions 28 to 507 of the family's 1533-position model. The record is from RNAcentral.
GACGAACGCUGGCGGCGUGCUUAACACAUGCAAGUCGAACGGAAAGGCCCUGCUUUUGUGGGGUGCUCGAGUGGCGAACGGGUGAGUAACACGUGAGUAACCUGCCCUUGACUUUGGGAUAACUUCAGGAAACUGGGGCUAAUACCGGAUAGGAGCUCCUGCUGCAUGGUGGGGGUUGGAAAGUUUCGGCGGUUGGGGAUGGACUCGCGGCUUAUCAGCUUGUUGGUGGGGUAGUGGCUUACCAAGGCUUUGACGGGUAGCCGGCCUGAGAGGGUGACCGGCCACAUUGGGACGGAGGUACGGCCCAGACUCCUACGGGAGGCAGCAGUGGGGAAUAUUGCACAAUGGGCGGAAGCCUGAUGAAGCAACGCCGCGUGCGGGAUGACGGCCUUCGGGUUGUAAACCGCUUUCGCCUGUGACGAAGCGUGAGUGACGGUAAUGGGAAAAGAAGCACCGGCUAACUACGUG